AAAUAAGAAGCGAAAAAUUGCAUUCAGUUUCGACCUGAAAUUUUGGUAUAAUACACCCUUAUUUA
RNAcentral lists this transfer RNA (65 nucleotides) under Hilethera xinjiangensis. Its description in RNAcentral is "tRNA-Arg". Lineage: Eukaryota; Metazoa; Arthropoda; Insecta; Orthoptera; Acrididae. The record is from RNAcentral.